RNAcentral lists this long non-coding RNA (899 nucleotides) under Brassica napus (rape). Its description in RNAcentral is "long non-coding RNA (BNAP_LNC016232)". Lineage: Eukaryota; Viridiplantae; Streptophyta; Magnoliopsida; Brassicales; Brassicaceae. The record is from RNAcentral.
UUAAAAUCAUACUUCGUUUAUCAAUGCAUUCCCUCUUCAGUCUAAGGUAAAUUUUGUUUUCUAAUCUUAUAAACUACAAUUCACAAAAUGUUAUAAAAAAAAUAUAUAUAUAUAUAUAUAUAUAUAUAUGAUUUUUUGGUGUCAAAUCUAAUAAAAUCGGAAACUGAUAAUAUAUAAACUGAACCAAACCAAUGUAAGAAUGAUUUUAAUAUGGUAGUUUAUUUUUAUAAAUCAAAAUAUUUAAGAUCUAAAAAAGCUGAACCAAAAUUGUAUCAAAUCCGAAUUGAAUAUCUAGCAUCUCUUAUGUAGUUUUUACAAUUUACUAUUAUUACGAUAAUCAUAUUACUUUUUUGUAACAGAGUUGACAAACUAACAAUUCAUGCUCAUGGGUUAUUUCUGACAAUAGAUUUGUCCCCUGAUUUUAAUACAUUAUAACAGAACCAUAUCAUUAGAAGAAAAAAAACAGGAAUAUAUGUUUGUUACUUGAAGAAAAUCAAGACCACAAAAUAUCUGCGAAUCGGAACCCAGCAAAGCAGAAUCUCCACCAGGCCUUGCCAUAGCUGCAUGUUAAAGUAUGAAAAAAAGACAAAUACAUAAUGAAAUAUGUUUAUGGCUUGGAGAAUAUAUAUACCUUGGAGUUUUCAUAUCAGUAUUAACUAAAUGCAACUAAAACACACACAAUCUCACAGUCGCAGCAUAAGAGAGAUGGGAUCUUAAGCGCUGGUUCAAUGUGUUUUUUUCAAGCAAUAUUAAUAAACUUUAAGACGCAUUUAUCAUAUUCAAGAAUACGGAAAAUCAAUUGUAACAAACCAUCAUGUUUGAUCAUUUAAAUAGCAUGAAGUUAAAAUAAAUAUUCAGAGUAUGAUGCUUCUUCUAUAAAACAACAUAGCAGAGAGAGU